This 253-nucleotide ribosomal RNA is filed under the name uncultured bacterium. RNAcentral's name for it is "partial 16S ribosomal RNA". It matches the Rfam family "Bacterial small subunit ribosomal RNA", at positions 524 to 776 of the family's 1533-position model. The record is from RNAcentral.
UACGUAGGCAGCGAGCGUUGUUCGGAGUUACUGGGCGUAAAGGGUGUGUAGGCGGUUGUUUAAGUUUGGUGUGAAAUCUCCCGGCUCAACUGGGAGGGUGCGCCGAAUACUGAAUGACUAGAGUGCGGGAGAGGAAAGUGGAAUUCCUGGUGUAGCGGUGAAAUGCGUAGAUAUCAGGAGGAACACCGGUGGUGUAGACGGCUUUCUGGACCAUUGCUGACGCUGAGACACGAAAGCGUGGGUAGCAAACAGG